AGUUGAGUUGAGUUGAGUUGUUAUAUUUGUUUCCAACUUGUAAUUAGAACAGAUAGCAGAGAGUUGGAUCCAAUUUGGCCUAAAUUUGCUGACUUCUUGUAUCAUAAGCAGUGUUGUUUCCACUAUCAUUCUAAGAAGCAACCCGUUGGGUCAGGACAGAAGUUUCAGUCGUUGAUAUUUGGUAUAAUAGAAGCAGAAUAGAGAACAUGUUGGAGUAACCUCCUCUAGUAACUAUUAAUAGUAUGAGAAACAUUGUGAACAUACACAUUCCGAAACACAAGAUAUGGUUCCUAUGAGUUGGUUAUAUGAUGAUAUCUUAAAUUUUCACCAAUUCCUACUUCCUAGGAAAAAUAUAAAGUCGUCUUUUAGGCCUUUGUAACAAGGCAUGUAGCACAUUAGUGGACUACAGUGGUUCAUUAAUCAAUUGGAUGUGAGUCUUUGCUGCUGAAUAUUGAAAAUUUUUACAACAGGUACUGCAGGAAUCUAAAAGGAUCCAAUAAUAUAAAGAUUAACUUUCUUUGAAAGCAGAAUUAGUAUAUGCGUAAUAAAUCAAUGACAAUUUUAAUACUAGCAAAUGACAACUUCAAACAAAGAGAAAAUUAAACUCAGCAUUCCUUCAUGGCUAACAUGAAAGUCUAAUCAAAGCAUUGUGUUCAUUUAUCGAAGCGCCAAACACACGGAGUUUGGAAGAUUUCUUUGAUUUUAGAUGUUGACAAUAAAGCAUUAAGACAUUUAACAUACUAAUGUCUAUGAAAUAAAUAAGCACCCAUCAAUUGUAAGAUCUCAUUUUAAACCUAUAUCAUAAUUCUGGAAUAUCUAGGCUUUAAAUUCAAUGGCAUUUGGAUUGGAAAUUCAUGCAAAAACAAAAUUUUCCAUCUGAUUUUACAUAAAUAAUACUUGUGUACAUAUGCUCUUUCCAUAAUAUCAGAGCAAUAUCAUGCAAAGGAGGCAUCAAUUGAUCAAGAUAAACUACAAUGUCACUUGCAGCUUUCAUUUUUAAACAUAAUAUAAGCCCCCCAUUUCAAGUCCUCCAAAGAAAGAAAACCACGAAAGCCAAAUAAUAGACACAGUUAUGUCAUCAAAUUAUAAACAGUUGCGUAUGGAAUAAUGUUUGAAAACUCAGUUCCACAUGCACAUACAUGCAAACAGAGAGAAACUAGAACUUCGAACAUCAUGGAUUCAACAGCCAUGAUUUCCUAGCUUCUUUCUAAAUUACCAGAUUGACUAAA
RNAcentral lists this unclassified non-coding RNA (1229 nucleotides) under Hevea brasiliensis (rubber tree). The record is from RNAcentral. Lineage: Eukaryota; Viridiplantae; Streptophyta; Magnoliopsida; Malpighiales; Euphorbiaceae.